GCCGACCCCGGACCAAAAGUAGCGCUGCAGCCGACCGAACCGCUUCCUCCCGCGCCGUCCUCCCCUCCCCCACGCCGGGACGGCCUCCCGGGGGAGGCCCCGAGGAAAAAAAUCCAGGCUCGAACUCCGCCCCCUGCCGGCCGCCAGCAGGAGUGAAGCGCCACAAUCCAACAAUGAAAUGGAACCGGGGAGGGGCGGCGGGAAGGUUAUAGUGCCAUCAUGUGGAUACUUUGUUUUCUUCAAAUAAAAUGUAACCUUUUUAUAACAGAAACUAGAAAACCCAGCCAUCCCAACACCCAGGCUGUGCAAAGAAAUUGGGGCCAAACUUUUUUUGCCAUGUUCUGAAAAGGAUAGAGGCACUCUCCAUUCCUGAUUGUUCCAAGGCUCAAGUGGUCAGAAAUGACUGGGAAGAAGGGAGAAAAACUCAGGUGGCAAAGGACAUGGACGAAAACCCAUGGCGACAUGGAAAGAAAACCCUGUGAUAUAUAGAGGAAGAGCACAGGACAGCUUAUUGGGGAGA
RNAcentral lists this non-coding RNA (520 nucleotides) under Pan troglodytes (chimpanzee). Lineage: Eukaryota; Metazoa; Chordata; Mammalia; Primates; Hominidae. The record is from RNAcentral.